RNAcentral lists this ribosomal RNA (459 nucleotides) under uncultured bacterium. RNAcentral's name for it is "partial 16S ribosomal RNA". It matches the Rfam family "Bacterial small subunit ribosomal RNA", at positions 338 to 795 of the family's 1533-position model. The record is from RNAcentral.
CCUACGGGGGGCAGCAGUGAGGAAUAUUGGUCAAUGGUCGGGAGACUGAACCAGCCAAGCCGCGUGAGGGAGGAAGGUACAGAGUAUCGUAAACCUCUUUUGUCAGGGAACAAAGGCGGGGACGUGUCCCCGGAUGAGUGUACCUGAAGAAAAAGCAUCGGCUAACUCCGUGCCAGCAGCCGCGGUAAUACGGAGGAUGCGAGCGUUAUCCGGAUUUAUUGGGUUUAAAGGGUGAGCAGGCGGUCUGUUAAGUCAGCGGUCAAAGCCCGGGGCUCAACCCCGGCCCGCCGUUGAAACUGGCAGUCGCGAGUUGGAGAGAAGUAUGCGGAAUGCGCGGGGUAGCGGUGAAAUGCAUAGAUAUCGCGCAGAACUCCGAUUGCGAAGGCAGCAUGCCGGCUCCACACUGACGCUGAGGCACGAAAGCGUGGGUAUCGAACAGGAUUAGAUACCCGAGUAGUC